RNAcentral lists this ribosomal RNA (254 nucleotides) under uncultured bacterium. RNAcentral describes it as "partial 16S ribosomal RNA". It matches the Rfam family "Bacterial small subunit ribosomal RNA", at positions 524 to 776 of the family's 1533-position model. The record is from RNAcentral.
GACGGAGGGGGCUAGCGUUGUUCGGAAUUACUGGGCGUAAAGGGCGCGUAGGCGGAUUAGUAAGUUUGGGAGUGAAAGCCCGGGGCUUAACCUCGGAACUGCUUUCAAAACUGCUAGUCUAGAGUGAAGUAGGGGGUGAUGGAAUUCCUAGUGUAGAGGUGAAAUUCUUAGAUAUUAGGAGGAACACCGGUGGCGAAGGCGGUCACCUGGACUUCAACUGACGCUGAGGCGCGAAAGCGUGGGGAGCAAACAGG